AGCGAACGCUGGCGGCAGGCUUAACACAUGCAAGUCGAGCGGGCACUUUCGGGUGUCAGCGGCGGACGGGUGAGUAACGCGUGGGAACGUGCCCUCUGGUUCGGAAUAACUCAGGGAAACUUGAGCUAAUACCGGAUACGCCCUUUUGGGGAAAGGCUUGCUGCCGGAGGAUCGGCCCGCGUCUGAUUAGCUAGUUGGUUAGGUAACGGCUCACCAAGGCGACGAUCAGUAGCUGGUCUGAGAGGAUGAUCAGCCACACUGGGACUGAGACACGGCCCAGACUCCUACGGGAGGCAGCAGUGGGGAAUAUUGGACAAUGGGCGCAAGCCUGAUCCAGCCAUGCCGCGUGAGUGAUGAAGGCCUUAGGGUUGUAAAGCUCUUUUAUCCGGGACGAUAAUGACGGUACCGGAGGAAUAAGCCCCGGCUAACUUCGUG
Molecule: ribosomal RNA, 435 nt
Filed under: uncultured bacterium
Lineage: Bacteria
Description: partial 16S ribosomal RNA
Rfam family: Bacterial small subunit ribosomal RNA
Source: RNAcentral